CGUAGGUGCGAGCGUUGUCCGGAAUUAUUGGCGUAAGAGCUCGUAGGCGGCCUGUCACGUCGGAUGUGAAACCCGGGCUCAACCCCGGGCCUGCAUCCGAUACGGGCAGGCUAGAGUAUGGUAGGGAGAUCGGAAUUCCUGGUGUAGCGGUGAAAUGCGCAGAUAUCAGGAGGAACACCGGUGGCGAAGGCGGAUCUCUGGGCCAUUACUGACGCUGAGGAGCGAAAGCGUGGGAGCGAACAGGAUU
Molecule: ribosomal RNA, 247 nt
Filed under: uncultured bacterium
Lineage: Bacteria
Description: partial 16S ribosomal RNA
Rfam family: Bacterial small subunit ribosomal RNA
Source: RNAcentral